AGAACGAACGCUGGCGGCAUGCCUAACACAUGCAAGUCGAACGAGACCUUCGGGUCUAGUGGCGCACGGGUGCGUAACGCGUGGGAAUCUGCCCUUAGGUACGGAAUAACAGUGAGAAAUUACUGCUAAUACCGUAUGAUGUCUUCGGACCAAAGAUUUAUCGCCUAGGGAUGAGCCCGCGUUGGAUUAGCUAGUUGGUGGGGUAAAGGCCUACCAAGGCGACGAUCCAUAGCUGGUCUGAGAGGAUGAUCAGCCACACUGGGACUGAGACACGGCCCAGACUCCUACGGGAGGCAGCAGUGGGGAAUAUUGGACAAUGGGCGAAAGCCUGAUCCAGCAAUGCCGCGUGAGUGAAGAAGGCCUUAGGUUGUAAAGCUCGUUUUACCCGGGAAGAUAAUGACUGUACCGGGAGAAUAAGCCCGGCUAACUCCGCGCCAGCAGCCGC
Molecule: ribosomal RNA, 445 nt
Filed under: uncultured bacterium
Lineage: Bacteria
Description: SSU rRNA
Rfam family: Bacterial small subunit ribosomal RNA
Source: RNAcentral